RNAcentral lists this non-coding RNA (776 nucleotides) under Chitoria ulupi (tawny emperor). Lineage: Eukaryota; Metazoa; Arthropoda; Insecta; Lepidoptera; Nymphalidae. The record is from RNAcentral.
AGAUAAAAAUUUAUGUUUUAAAAAAUUUAUUUUAAAUUUAUUUUACAUAUAAAUUUUAGUGUGAAAUUUUAAUUAUUUUAAUAAUAAUUAAUUAAUUAAAGUAGUAAUUAAUAUUAAAAAUUUAAGAAAUUAAGAUUUAGUAAUAUAAAAAUUAAUAACUAAUUUUGUGCCAGCAGUUGCGGUUAUACAAAAAUUAAAUUAAAUUAUUUCGAUUUAUAAUAAAUUAUGUAAAAAUUAAAUUAAAUAUUAAAUUAUUAAGUGAAAUUUUAAUUUAAUUAAAUUUUAUAUUUAAUUUAUGAAUUAGUAAAUUUUAAUAUAAACUAGGAUUAGAUACCCUAUUAUUAAAAAUUUAAUUAAAAAUAUCAAAAUAGUAAAUAAUUAUUUAUUGAAACUUAAAUAAUAUGGCGGUAUUUUAGUUCAUUUAGAGGAAUCUGUCUAAUAAUUGAUAAUCCACGAAUAAAUUUACUUAAUUUAUAAUUUUGUAUAUCAUUGUUAAAAAAAUAUUUUAAAAUAAAAAUAAUAUUUAAAUUUUAUGAUUAAAAAUUAAUUCAGAUCAAGAUGCAGAAUAUAAUUAAGAAUAUGAUGGAUUACAAUAAAUAUAUUUAUAUGAAUAAUAUUGUUGUAAGAUAUAUUUGAAGGUGGAUUUAAAUGUAAUUUUAUUUAAUUUAUUAAAAUGAUUAAAAAUUAAAAUAUGUACAUAUUGCCCGUCACUUUCAUUUGAAAAUUGAAAUAAGUCGUAACAAAGUAGAGGUACUGGAAAGUGUUUCUAGAAAGAA